GACUUUUUAACUAUCUAUAAGUAUAUAUUUUGAAAAUAUAAAAAAGAAUUUCAUUCUAAAAGUCU
This 65-nucleotide transfer RNA is filed under the name Ixodes pacificus (western blacklegged tick). RNAcentral describes it as "tRNA-Ser". The record is from RNAcentral. Lineage: Eukaryota; Metazoa; Arthropoda; Arachnida; Ixodida; Ixodidae.